GACGAACGCUGGCGGCGUGCUGAACACAUGCAAGUAGAACGGAGUGGCGAAAGGGGGAGUAACACGAGGGUGAUCUGCCUAGAUCAUCGGGAGAAGCUCGGGACACUGGGUCUAAUACCCGAUAGUGUAAGUUGAGCGUGCGGCCUAUCAGAGGGUGGGUGGGGUAAUGGCCUACCAAGGCGUCGAUGUGUAGCCGGCCUGAGGGGGUGUACGGCCACAGUGUGACUGAGAUUACGCCCAGUCGCCUACUGGAGGCAGCAGUGAGGUAGAUUGCACCAGGGGCGGAGGCCUGAUGCAGCGACGCCGAGUGGGGGAUGAAGGCCUUCGGGUUGUAAACUCCUUUCGACAGGAACGCGGUACCUGUAUAAUAAGCACCGGCUAACUACGUGCCAGCAGCCGCGGUAAUAC
This 408-nucleotide ribosomal RNA is filed under the name uncultured bacterium. RNAcentral's name for it is "partial 16S ribosomal RNA". It matches the Rfam family "Bacterial small subunit ribosomal RNA", at positions 28 to 526 of the family's 1533-position model. The record is from RNAcentral.